RNAcentral lists this ribosomal RNA (521 nucleotides) under uncultured bacterium. RNAcentral's name for it is "partial 16S ribosomal RNA". It matches the Rfam family "Bacterial small subunit ribosomal RNA", at positions 28 to 523 of the family's 1533-position model. The record is from RNAcentral.
GACGAACGCUGGCGGCGUGCCUAAUACAUGCAAGUCGAGCGGGCCUCCGGAGGUGCUUGCACCUCCGGAAGGCCAGCGGCGGACGGGUGAGUAACACGUGGGCAACCUGCCUUUGAGGCCGGGAUAACACCGGGAAACCGGUGCUAAUACCGGAUGCGUCCCCUUUCGCGCCUGCGAGAGGGGAGAAAGACGGUCUUUAAGGCCGUCGCUACACGAGGGGCCCGCGGCGCAUUAGCUGGUUGGUGGGGUAAGGGCCUACCAAGGCGACGAUGCGUUGCCGACCUGAGAGGGUGAUCGGCCACACUGGGACUGAGACACGGCCCAGACUCCUGCGGGAGGCAGCAGUAGGGAAUCAUCCGCAAUGGGCGAAAGCCUGACGGUGCAACGCCGCGUGAGUGAGGAAGGUUUUCGGAUCGUAAAGCUCUGUUGUGAGGGAAGAACAGCUUCCGGAGGAAAUGCCGGAGGUUUGCCGGUACCUCACCAGAAAGCCCCGGCUAACUACGUGCCAGCCGCCGCGGUAA